CCUACGGGUGGCAGCAGUCGAGAAUCAUUCACAAUGGGGGAAACCCUGAUGGUGCGACGCCGCGUGGGGGAAUAAAGGCCUUCGGGUUGUAAACCCCUGUCAUGUGGGAGCAAAUUAAAAAGAUAGUACCACAAGAGGAAGAGACUGCUAACUCUGUGCCAGCAGCCGCGGUAAUACAGGGGUCUCAAGCGUUGUUCGGAAUCACUGGGCGUAAAGCUUUCGUCGGCUGUUUAGUAAGUCGUGUGUGAAAGGCGAGGGCUCAACCCGCGGACUGCACAUGAUACUGCGAGACUAGAGUAAUGGAGGGGGAACCGGAAUUCGUGGUGUAGCAGUGAAAUGCGUAGAUAUCGAGAGGAACACUCGUGGCGAAGGCGGGUUCCUGGACAUUAACUGACGCUGAGGCACGAAGGCCAGGGGAGCGAAAGGGAUUAGAUACCCCUGUAGUC
RNAcentral lists this ribosomal RNA (446 nucleotides) under uncultured bacterium. Its description in RNAcentral is "partial 16S ribosomal RNA". It matches the Rfam family "Bacterial small subunit ribosomal RNA", at positions 338 to 795 of the family's 1533-position model. The record is from RNAcentral.